GCCGGUGUAGCUCAGUUGGUAGAGCAUCUCAUUCGUAAUGAGGGGGUCGUAGGUUCAAGUACUAUCACCGGCACCA
This 76-nucleotide transfer RNA is filed under the name Alphaproteobacteria bacterium. Its description in RNAcentral is "tRNA-Thr". It matches the Rfam family "tRNA". Rfam says of the family: Transfer RNA (tRNA) molecules are approximately 80 nucleotides in length. Their secondary structure includes four short double-helical elements and three loops (D, anti-codon, and T loops). The record is from RNAcentral. Lineage: Bacteria; Pseudomonadati; Pseudomonadota; Alphaproteobacteria.